UUUCCUAACCAAUAUUCUCUGUAAAAAAGAAAAACUAAGCAAGCAUACCUUGCAUUCAAGUGCAUAAACACGCUGAUUCCUAUGUCUCCCCUCCCGUCCAACAACAUCACCAAAGAAAAGACAUAAAUGAACUUCGUUACUUCACCGCAUCUCCUCGGCUCAUGGUUUGAUGAGACAAAUCUAGAUUUAUCCAUCCAUGAGAGGAGAAUGCUCCAAAUACUCCGAGACCUUAACGAAAGCCACCACAAACACCUGAGAUCUGGACCAUAGACUUUGAACCCGCGCCCAAAUUAUUUUUGCCAAGUAAAGAUCGCAUUGAGAAACCAAAUACAAAGCCAAAACAAAGACCGAAACAAAAACAUCUUAUUAAAACCAAUAGCCCAUUGAAGAACCAGCCACAAAGGCUUACACCACAGACUGAGAUCACCAACAAAAAAGCAAAACAAAGAAACCAAACCACUAGGACCAGACUCGAUUCUACAUGAUUUUAUCAGUGAAUCCAUCAUUAUUCAAAGCAUAAAUUAAUAGCAAAGCCCAAAACCAUUCAUCCUGAUGGAUUCUUUGGCUUGGUGUAAGCCUUCUUGGCGCCUUUCUCCCCUGCCUUUGCCGCUGCCUUUGCCUGAAGCUUCUUGCGGGGAG
RNAcentral lists this long non-coding RNA (639 nucleotides) under Brassica napus (rape). RNAcentral describes it as "long non-coding RNA (BNAP_LNC019560)". The record is from RNAcentral. Lineage: Eukaryota; Viridiplantae; Streptophyta; Magnoliopsida; Brassicales; Brassicaceae.